UAGGUGGCGAGCGUUAUCCGGAAUUAUUGGGCGUAAAGGGUGCGCAGGCGGUUUGAAAAGUUUAAGGUGAAAGCGUGGGGCUUAACCCCAUACAGCCUUAGAAACUGUCAGACUAGAGUACAGGAUAGGGCAAUGGAAUUCCAUGUGUAGCGGUAAAAUGCGUAGAUAUAUGGAGGAACACCAGUGGCGAAGGCGGUUGCCUGGCCUGUAACUGACGCUCAUGCACGAAAGCGUGGGGAGCAA
RNAcentral lists this ribosomal RNA (243 nucleotides) under uncultured bacterium. RNAcentral describes it as "partial 16S ribosomal RNA". It matches the Rfam family "Bacterial small subunit ribosomal RNA", at positions 528 to 771 of the family's 1533-position model. The record is from RNAcentral.